Molecule: non-coding RNA, 124 nt
Organism: Danio rerio (zebrafish)
Lineage: Eukaryota; Metazoa; Chordata; Actinopteri; Cypriniformes; Danionidae
Source: RefSeq, a predicted model, not a curated record
AGUGAUCGGACUUGUGGCAGGUGAAGUCUGGCACAAUUUUCGACAACUUCCUAAUUACCAACGACCCCAAGUUGGCAGAAGAGGUCGGCACUGAGACUUGGGGAGCCACAAAAGAUGCUGAAAA